UCUCAUCUCCAAGAGGUCUCAUGAUGUAUUUGCAAGUCUUCUGAAAUCAAAGAAAAUCUGGAUAAUGGAGCAUUUCUGGUCCCAAAUAUUUUGUAUAAAAGGGACUCCACCGAGGUCCUGUGCAUUCCUGAGCAAGGUUUACAGUUCAUGUGACACAUGCCGUGGCUGGAAUCCUGUUAUUUUGCUUUCCCCUCUAAUAAAAAUGGGACUCUGCAGCAAAACAAACAGCCUUGGGAAUAUCCUGCCUGCAUCUGCUUCAGUUGGCAAGGCUGGAACUGCCUUUCUUCCGAAUGCCAAGCAAAAAAGGCAAUUUUUGGACUAUUUCCCUGCUUCGAGCAGAUUGUCCUGCUCACCAGAUUAUGAGGCCAUUUUAUCCCAAAUGGCUGUGAUCCCGGUUAAGUAUCAGCAAUAUCCCAGCAAUGGGUUUUGGAUGAAGCCAAAAUGAACUCCUGGGCUUCUAUCGGGCACCUUGAAGGCCACUGCUAAACGCCAUCGCUAACGGAAGUGACAGGCAUCAGUGAAUGUAGACAGCUGCUGACAAUGGGGAUUUUGCUCUCUGGUUCGGGGUGCAUCUUCACUAUAGAGUGAAUGCAAUUUGAACUGCAAUGCCCAGGAGUUGUAGUUUUACAAGGUGUUCAGCCUUCUCUGCCAAAGAAUGGUGGUGCCUCACCAAAAAUAUAACUGCCAGGAUUGGAUAGCAUGGAGUCAUGGCAGCUCAAGUGAUGAAAACAUUAGGGGAGUGUGAAACAACAGAAAUCUGUUCUGUUUUCGGUUCAGUUUUUGGAAAAUUCAGAAGAUUUGGGAGGGAGGGUUUUCGAAUCCGUAAUUCAGGAUCCAGAGUAUAUAAUCCUUCUAUCAAUAGGGCUGUUUUGCAUUGUUUAUCUGACCAAAUAUGUCCAGGGGCUGAUAAUUCCUACACAAGACAAGGCUAAGAAGGAAUCAAUAAAUUUGAAAGGGUAACCAGGCCUCUGAAUAUCUGGUAUUAUCACCUUUGGUUUUCUGUACUUCUCACUAUUGUCUUCUCAUAGAAUCACUAGCUGUGCCCGGCCACGCAUUGCUGUGGCUUUUUUUAGUGGUGUUGGUCAAUGUACAUUAGGUUUUAUUUUUGCUGUGACCCUGUCCCUCUUUUAUACUCACAAUUAGUAGUAGUUGUUGAAGUCUGGCCGAAAGCCUACGGUUCCGGCAGCUGCGAGGCCACGGAGGGGGCAGGGCCUGGCGCCUCCGCGGCCUCCUCGGCUACUGGGGAAGGACGCAAACCAAGGCCCGCAGCUCUAGCGGCCACCUGGAGCCUUCGGGAGGUGAGUCUGUGGCGGUGGAGAUCAAGAGAGAGGAUGAGCAAGGGGUUGACAGUUUUGUGUGUGUGAACGCAGCGCAAGGGUUCGGAGGAUUGUGUUUGUGCGCAUGCGUACAUUGCCUGUUACGGUAUUUGGCCUUUUUUUGGGUCUUGUGAUUGUGUUUUUAGUGUAAUUUUGUUCUAUCGUACUUGACGUGAGGAUGAUGGGUUGUGUUGUAAAUUUUCUAGUUUUCGGGUUUUUGUGUUUUGCUGUUUUGUGCGUCGCCACGACGCCAAAAGCCUUUUAUAUAUAUAUAGAUAGAAACAUAGAGUUGGAAGAGACCUCACGGGCCAUCCAGUCCAACCCCCUGCAAGAAGCAGGAAAAUCUCAUUCAAAGCACCCCCGACAGAUGGCCAUCCAGCCUCCAGAACUGGACAAUAAGUCAAUCAAGUAAUCAUCAGCAUACCACGUCAUCAUACUCCUCAGUUUUGCACUCACCUUAGAGAACCUCUUGUCUCACCCAUGAUGCAGAAGGAAGAUUUGUCUAUUGGUGCCAAUGGGGGAACUUGCAAGGCUCAUAUUUCUGUCAUUUUUUCUGGCUAUCAGGAUAAAACUUGCCACACUUGUAGGACACUUUUACGACUGCAAACCUGCCAAGUUUCAAAUCAUUUUGCCAAUCCUCUGAGUUUGGAAAUUUUAAAAAAGUUUUUACCAAAUAAAAAAAUAUAUAUUUAAAAGCCAUAAGAGGGAUUUCUGGGAUGUGAAGUCCUAACGAGCGCAUGCCGCAAGAGGAGAGAAGAAUGGACAGAACCAGGCCUGUGAUUGGCUGAGAAAUGUGAUGAACUUGCCACUCAGCCCCAUCGCCGCCACCAUAGAGACAUUGCUGCUUGCGCUUGCAAAACAAACAAAUGCUCUGAAUACUAAUGUGAAAAAUAUGUCAGAGUGCGGUUCGGAUAAACACACAUGCAGCAGAAGACUCACAUAGAAGCACUGGCACCAGUAACGAGGCUGGAGACUUCAGCUAUCUAUAAACAGGUUUACUGGCGAACGGAAAACUCUCACAAGACGAUACACAUACAGACAGAGUGCAGAGAGCAGAUAACCAGAGAGAGAAUACAGGAAACAGAAAGCUAUAUAUAAACACCUCUGCUGUAUGAUGCAACACUCAGUUAACUCUUUACACACUUGCAUAGUGGACAGCAGACAGUGCAUGAUGCAAUCCCCAGCUCACAUUGCAUCACUAUAACUCAAUUACAUUUAAACAAACCUAUGUACAAUCAUUCCCACUUCAACAAAAUAAGCCCAAAUCAACAAAUCUGUCCUGAAUUUUUAGCCAAAAGAUUAGGUGGCUCCUGUUUCAUUCUGGGAAGGCUCCAAGGGGAUCCUUAUUUAUAUAUUUAUUUCAGACAUUUAUAUCCCGCCCUUCUCAUCCCCGAGGGGGGACUCAGGGCGGCCUUCUCAGAACCGUUUCCGGAGGCUUGGCUGCCAGAUCUCAGAAAUUAUCUGAAAACUGAUUUGACCAACGAAAUUUUGCACACCCCUAGAAAACAUCCCCUAGAACUCUACUAAGACCACAAGUUGAACAUGAGUCAACAUUGUGAUGCAAUCGCUAAAAAAAGCUUAUGUGGCUGCAUCCAUAGGAGUAAAGUGUCUGGAUAAUAGGAAGUCAUAGUCCUAUUUUAUUCUGCUUUGGUCACCUGAAAUAAUAGCCCUGUGUCCAUUUCUGGUCACCAGAAUUCAAGAAGAAUAGGGACAAGAUAGAAGGGGUCCAGAGAAGGGCCUCCAAAAGCCUGGAAACUAUGAAUCCCUCUGAGGAGCAACUUAAAGAGUUGGGGAUGCACAGUUUGGAGAUGAAAAGGGGAAGAAGAUGAAAGCCAUGUUUCAAUAUUAGUAAUGACAUCAUAUGAGAGAUGAUGCCAGCUUGUUUUCUGCUCCUCCAGAGACUGAGACAGAAUGGAGCAAUGGGUUCAAAUUGCAGGAAAAGAGAUUCCACCCAAACAUUAGGAAGGACAUCCUCAGAAGGGUUGGCACCAAGCGCAGGGCUUGGAUUGCAUGAACUGAAAAUCUGGAGAGGCAGAUGGCAUUAUCAGGAGGAGAAGAAAACGACACUGAAAAUGGCAGAGAUGUAUCCGGGAUGGGCGACGCAUGUAUAAAUGCCUCUAUGGAAGAAAUUUUUUCCCCUGUAUGAAACCUGAAUGACACUCAUGGUUCUAUUCCGCACAGCUGUGCGUGGAUAAUACAGAGUAGACUUUCCAUUAAACAGAACUCAGGCAACCAGAACUCUCAAGCAACCAGUCAAAAGAAUUAAUAUUUUAAAUAAAAAAUGAAAUAAAAUCAAUUAUAAUUAAAAUUGCAUAUUGCAUUCACAAUUUUAGCUAGACGGCAGAUAAAAUUUUUAUUAUAUAUAAUACAGUUAAACUGUAUUCCAUUACGUUUGUCUUAAUUUCUUUUGAAUUCCUGUAUUUCAAUAUGAAUAGCAAGUCAAUAAAAAGUUUAUGGUAUGGUAUAGUAUUGGGUAUAGGAUUAGUUAUGUCUAUUUUUAAUAGUAACUCUCAAGCAACCAGCGACUACAUUUGUUGUUGUUGUUGUUGUUGUUGUUGUUGUUUAUACCCCACUUUAUCUCUCCCAAAUGAGACUCAAAGCAGCUUAACAUAAAAGCAUUGCUGUCAGGCUUUUGUUUUGCCUAUCAAAAGGCUAGCAGAGAGAGCCAUAUAAGAGAGCUAAAGCUUCAUUUCCCACCUCCCUCCUGUUCUCAGUUCUGCAAUGUAAGAAUAAAGUAAAGGUUUUCCCCUGACAUUAUGUCUAGUUGUGUCCGACUCUGGGGGGUUGGUGCUCAUCUCCAUUUCUAAGCCGAAGAGCCGGACUUGACGUAGGUACCUCCAAGGUCAUGAGGCCAUGGGCAUGACUGCAUGGAGUGCCAUUACUUUCCCACCAGUACCCAUUGAAUUACUCACAUUUGCAUGUUUUCAAACUACUAGGUUGACAGAAGCUGUGGCUAACAGCAGGAGCUCACCCUGCUCCCUAGAUUCUAACUGCCAAACUUUCAGUCAGCAAGUUCAGCAGCUCAGCGGUUUAACCCACUCCGCCAUGUAUUAGCAUACAUUUUAAAAUGUAUUUGGCAUAUCUACUGCACUUGCUUUGGCCCAAUCUACACUUCCAUGUAAUGUAGUUUAGCUGCCUUGAACUGUAUUAUAUGCGCCCACACUGUCAGAUAAUGCAGUUCAAACCACUGUGUUGCAGAAAAUCCUCCCGACUGAAAGACCGGUAGUUUGAGCUUGGGUGGGGUGAGCACCCGCCGCAGCCCCAGUUCACCUGCCCACCUAGCAGGCCGAAAGCAGAAAUGCGAGUAGAUAAAUAGGUACCGCUUUUAGCGGGGAGGUAAUAAAGGCGCCCUUAAGGACAUCAAUCAGAAGGAUGUCUAAGGACGACAAAGCUCCUCGGCAUGAAAGAUGGAGCAAUGGCACCCCCUGGUGGCCGGGGUCAAGCACAGCCUCCAAGAUGCCAGAAAUAAGAUGGGAAAUGUAUUUACUUCUCUUUGUGUACUGUCUGUCCUUGUUAAUUGUAUAACAACAUUGAAUGCUUCCUGUAUGUGUGUUCUGUAAUCUGCCCUGAGUCCCCUCGGGGAGAUAGAGUGGAAUAUAAAUAAAGUAUAUUAUUAUUAUUAUUA
Long non-coding RNA from Anolis carolinensis (green anole), 4941 nucleotides. RefSeq lists it as uncharacterized. The record is from RefSeq and is a predicted model, not a curated record. The transcript is spliced from 2 exons. Lineage: Eukaryota; Metazoa; Chordata; Lepidosauria; Squamata; Anolidae.